CAGUCGCCACGGUAAUACAGAGGGUGCGAGCGUUAAUCGGAUUUACUGGGCGUAAAGCGUGCGUAGGCGGCUUCUUAAGUCGGAUGUGAAAUCCCUGAGCUUAACUUAGGAAUUGCAUUCGAUACUGGGAAGCUAGAGUAUGGGAGAGGAUGGUAGAAUUCCAGGUGUAGCGGUGAAAUGCGUAGAGAUCUGGAGGAAUACCGAUGGCGAAGGCAGCCAUCUGGCCUAAUACUGACGCUGAGGUACGAAAGCGUGGGUAGCGAACAGGAUUAGAUACCCGCGUAGUCCCUGUCUCUUAUAC
RNAcentral lists this ribosomal RNA (301 nucleotides) under uncultured bacterium. Its description in RNAcentral is "partial 16S ribosomal RNA". It matches the Rfam family "Bacterial small subunit ribosomal RNA", at positions 509 to 807 of the family's 1533-position model. The record is from RNAcentral.